GUGGGGAAUAUUGGACAAUGGGCGCAAGCCUGAUCCAGCCAUGCCGCGUGAGUGAUGAAGGCCCUAGGGUUGUAAAGCUCUUUCAGUGGGGACGAUAAUGACGGUACCCACAGAAGAAGCCCCGGCUAACUUCGUGCCAGCAGCCGCGGUAAUACGAAGGGGGCUAGCGUUGUUCGGAUUUACUGGGCGUAAAGCGCACGUAGGCGGAUCGUUAAGUCGAGGGUGAAAUCCUGGAGCUCAACUCCAGAACUGCCUUCGAUACUGGCGAUCUUGAGUCCGGAAGAGGUGAGUGGAACUCCUAGUGUAGAGGUGGAAUUCGUAGAUAUUAGGAAGAACACCAGUGGCGAAGGCGGCUCACUGGUCCGGUACUGACGCUGAGGUGCGAAAGCGUGGGGAGCAAACAGGAUUAGAUACCCGUGUAGUCC
This 425-nucleotide ribosomal RNA is filed under the name uncultured bacterium. RNAcentral describes it as "bacterial SSU rRNA". It matches the Rfam family "Bacterial small subunit ribosomal RNA", at positions 354 to 796 of the family's 1533-position model. The record is from RNAcentral.